UCAAGGCACAUAGCAAUCGCUGUACUUGACCCUGAACCUUAAUCAUUAAUCUUGUUGAGAUGAAAAGUAUCCAGGGGUGACACAGGAUAAGGUAAGUACUGCUGAGUACUGUUUUAUAAAGUGAGUGGACUCUGCAGAAUAUCUGGCAAUGCCCCAGAAGGGAUGAAGAUGGAAGUCCUGCCAACCCUUUGCUUUCAACCAUUGAGAAAGGCUUCCAUAUGUCGAGAGAAGUUGCUAGAAGUCUUAGAAACUUGCUGCUCUCACCCCAAAGUGACUUUUAACAGCCUGGGAAAUGCUGCAACAUGAAACACCAAUCAAAGGUAAGAAGUGUGCAUCCCAGACUCAGGACUCCUCCAGUGUGCAUGUUCGUGCCUCGGAUCUCGAGGGCUCCAGUUCGGUGUCAUCGUCCCCGGCUUCUCUUCUGAAUUUCAAGGCCCAUUUUAUACCCAGCAUGUGGUCUGCUUGGCUGAACACAGUGUGUUGUGGAAUGUGGCAGGACCCUUGCCCAGCAAGGACUAUGCCCUUGCCAGACUCGGCCUCCAACUUCUUCCUUCAAUUUCAAACUAGGUUUGGAAACAGAGGAAGCGAUGGUGGCUUUGUGAAUUGAGCUGUUCUUCCGACACCUAGUGACAAAGCAAAGAACUUCAGUUCCAGAAAUGACC
Long non-coding RNA from Dipodomys spectabilis (banner-tailed kangaroo rat), 662 nucleotides. RefSeq lists it as uncharacterized. The transcript is spliced from 3 exons. Lineage: Eukaryota; Metazoa; Chordata; Mammalia; Rodentia; Heteromyidae. The record is from RefSeq and is a predicted model, not a curated record.